CCUGUGUCAGUGGUUAAAGAUGACGGAUUUUUUUCAGCUGAUGAAAUAUCUGGAGCCAGGCUAUGAAAUGACCUGCCGACCGACAGUUAGCUCACGGUACGUUUCCCUGUCUUGUCAAAAUGAUUGAUGAUUUUAUUUUUAAAUCACUUUACUUUAUGCCAUAAGUAGGCCUUAGCCUUAAACGUUAAAUGAAAUUCUGUGAUUUAUCUGUAAGGUUGGCUAUAAUUCAGAAUAAGGCUGCACGAUAUUGGAAAACACGAACAUUGCAAUUUUUUUUCAACCCUGCGAUAUAUAUCGCGAUAUUUAAAAAAAUGAGAAUUUUCACCAGAAGACCUGAAUAACACUUUAUGCUAUACUGCACUGCUGAAAUCUCGAGGACAGUUAACCUGCACUGAUCUUACCCCUUUUUUUGAAUGUUAGUAGAAUGGCCUCUGUCUGUCUCAGGGAUAUUUAAGUUUGCUUUUAUUGUGCUGGGAUGUUACUGUGGUAACAGAUGAACGGUACUGCAGACACAGAACAGGUGUUUGGUGAUGUCACCCUUCUAGUAACCGAAAUAAUUACAGAUAAGUGACAUUGUUUUUCUUUUUGUCAACAGGUAUUCAUCUUUGGCGGAAAGUGACGUUGCUUUUCUUUUUGCCAAUAACAAGUAUUCAUCUUUGGCAGAAGUGACGUUGCUUUUCUUUUUGCCAUAAACAAGUGUUGAUCUUUAGCAGUAAGUGACGUUGCUUUUCUUUUUGCAAACAAGUAUUCAUGUUCAGCGGUAAGUGACGUUGCUUUUCUUUUUGCCAAUAACAAGUAUACAUCUUUGGCGAAAGUGACGUUGCUUUUCUUUUUGCCAACAAGUAUUCAUCUUCGGCGGUAAGUGAC
Non-coding RNA from Xyrichtys novacula (pearly razorfish), 867 nucleotides. The record is from the annotation of a GenBank genome assembly. NCBI's taxonomy places the organism in Eukaryota, Metazoa, Chordata, Actinopteri, Labriformes, Labridae.